CCUACGGGUGGCAGCAGUGAGGAAUAUUGGUCAAUGGCCGAGAGGCUGAACCAGCCAAGUCGCGUGCGGGAAGACGGCCCUACGGGUUGUAAACCUCUUUUGUCGGGGAGCAAAGCGAACCACGUGUGGUUCAUUGAGAGUACCCGAAGAAAAAGCAUCGGCUAACUCCGUGCCAGCAGCCGCGGUAAUACGGAGGAUGCGAGCGUUAUCCGGAUUUUUUGGGUUUAAAGGGUGCGCAGGCGGAGGUGCAAGUCAGCGGUCAAAUUGCGGGGCUCAACCCCGUACUGCCGUUGAAACUGCAUCCCUUGAGUGCGCGAGAAGUAUGCGGAAUGCGUGGUGUAGCGGUGAAAUGCAUAGAUAUCACGCAGAACUCCGAUUGCGAAGGCGGCCUGCUGGACGACAACUGACGGUGAGGCGCGAAAGCGUGGGGAGCAAACAGGAUUAGAUACCCGUGUAGUC
This 459-nucleotide ribosomal RNA is filed under the name uncultured bacterium. Its description in RNAcentral is "partial 16S ribosomal RNA". It matches the Rfam family "Bacterial small subunit ribosomal RNA", at positions 338 to 795 of the family's 1533-position model. The record is from RNAcentral.